This 369-nucleotide RNase P RNA is filed under the name Coriobacteriales bacterium. RNAcentral's name for it is "RNase P RNA component class A". It matches the Rfam family "Bacterial RNase P class A". Rfam says of the family: Ribonuclease P (RNase P) is a ubiquitous endoribonuclease, found in archaea, bacteria and eukarya as well as chloroplasts and mitochondria. Its best characterised activity is the generation of mature 5'-ends of tRNAs by cleaving the 5'-leader elements of precursor-tRNAs. Lineage: Bacteria; Bacillati; Actinomycetota; Coriobacteriia; Coriobacteriales. The record is from RNAcentral.
UGAGUGGGCCUUAUGGCCGCGCUUUCAAUCUGCCUGCGGGCGCGAAGAAGGUGAGGAAAGUCCGGACUCCACAGGGCAGGAUGCCAGCUAACGGCUGGGCGAGGUGACUCGACGGAAAGUGCCACAGAAAAGAAAACUCCCUGGCUGGCCUUGUGGCUCGCCAGAGAAAAGCUGAAACGGUGUGGUAAGAGCGCACCAGCGCUCUGGCAACAGAGCGGCUUGGCAAACCCCAUCUGGAGCAAUGACAAAUAGGGAUGCAAUCGGUUUGCCCAACCGGCAUCCGGGUUGUCAGCUUGAGAGCAGCGGCGACGCUGCCCCUAGAUAAAUGGCCAUACGCGACAGAAUCCGGCUUACCGGCCCACUCACCUA